Molecule: ribosomal RNA, 253 nt
Filed under: uncultured bacterium
Lineage: Bacteria
Description: partial 16S ribosomal RNA
Rfam family: Bacterial small subunit ribosomal RNA
Source: RNAcentral
GACGUAGGGGGCGAGCGUUGUCCGGAUUUAUUGGGCGUAAAGAGCUCGUAGGCGGCUUGUUGCGUCAGCUGUGAAAACCCGCAGCUCAACUGUGGGCUUGCAGCUGAUACGGGCAGGCUUGAGUUCGGUAGGGGAGACUGGAAUUCCUGGUGUAGCGGUGAAAUGCGUAGAUAUCUGGAGGAACACCGGUGGCGAAGGCGGCAUCCUGGACCGACACUGACACUGAGGAGCGAAAGCCAGGGGAGCAAACGGG